AAUAACCGCAUAACAUUUGGUAUAGUACCACUGAAAUGGAGCAUCAUCACAAAUUCACAGUAGAGGGGUGCCUUCCACUCCACAAAAAAUCAAAUGGGACUUAACCCUCAAACGUUUUAAAUGCUUGCCCGGUUUAGAUAACUAAGAUGAUAAAACACGUUAUUCAACAGAUAAAGUAAAAAAACACACAUCUGAAAUAAUUUUCUUCUUAACUAUCAAGCAGGCAGCUCUCCUGACAGGUUUCAGUUCAAAAGGGGGCAAAGAUUCAGCAGCCAGCAAUUGAUUUUGUGUAGUUGACUAAAUAAGGCGAAACGGAUAAGGGUCACAUCCCAUGGAUAAGAUGCUAAACAGUUGUGAAAAAACAAAGUUUCAAAUGGUAUAGUCAUUUUCCCCUUGAUUUUACCACUGUAUUUAGCCGAAACAGUCCAAAUGACUACUCUGCAUUUUAUUUCAAGCGGCUCUGUGCUGUGUGUGACAGGGCAAUCUCGAGUACUACGAACUUGUUUGUAUCUCAUCCUCAACAAACAUGAACAACGGAAUUUCCACCCAUAUAGGGAAGUGAAAGCGCUACUACAGCAGCAUACACGCAAAUAUCAACAAAACCAGCGAUGAACUGGGAUAAUCUGAGCGAUAAACCGCAGAAAAAUUCAGGGCGUUACCAGGGCCAAAAGCGGACCAGCCUCCAGCCGUUGCCGACGCCGAAGCCGACGCCCGCGCCGGGGGUGGGGACGAGGGGGAGCUACCUGCGGUCGGCGGCGUUGGACGCG
Molecule: long non-coding RNA, 767 nt
Filed under: Oryza sativa (Asian cultivated rice)
Lineage: Eukaryota; Viridiplantae; Streptophyta; Magnoliopsida; Poales; Poaceae
Description: long non-coding RNA (OSAT_LNC001951)
Source: RNAcentral